RNAcentral lists this ribosomal RNA (510 nucleotides) under uncultured bacterium. Its description in RNAcentral is "partial 16S ribosomal RNA". It matches the Rfam family "Bacterial small subunit ribosomal RNA", at positions 28 to 507 of the family's 1533-position model. The record is from RNAcentral.
GACGAACGCUGGCGGCGUGCUUAACACAUGCAGGUCGAACGAAGAGCGAUGGAAGCUUGCUUCUAUCAAUCUUAGUGGCGAACGGGUGAGUAACGCGUAAUCAACCUGCCCUUCAGAGGGGGACAACAGUUGGAAACGACUGCUAAUACCGCAUACGAUCUAAUCUCGGCAUCGAGGAUAGAUGAAAGGUGGCCUCUACAUGUAAGCUAUCACUGAAGGAGGGGAUUGCGUCUGAUUAGCUAGUUGGAGGGGUAACGGCCCACCAAGGCGAUGAUCAGUAGCCGGUCUGAGAGGAUGAACGGCCACAUUGGGACUGAGACACGGCCCAGACUCCUACGGGAGGCAGCAGUGGGGAAUCUUCCGCAAUGGACGAAAGUCUGACGGAGCAACGCCGCGUGAGUGAUGACGGCCUUCGGGUUGUAAAGCUCUGUUAAUCGGGACGAAAGGCCUUCUUGCGAAUAGGGAGAAGGAUUGACGGUACCGGAAUAGAAAGCCACGGCUAACUACGUG